GAUGAACGCUGGCGGCGUGCCUAAUACAUGCAAGUCGAGCGAACGGACGAGAAGCUUGCUUCUUUGAUGUUAGCGGCGGACGGGUGAGUAACACGUGGAUAACAUACUUAUAUGACUGGGAUAACUUCGGGAAACCGGAGCUAAUACCAGAGAAUAUUUUGAACCGCAUGGUUCAAAAGUGAAAGACGGUCUUGCUGUCUCUUAUAGAUGGAUCCGCGCUGCAUUAGCUAGUUGGUAAGGUAACGGCUUACCAAGGCAACGAUGCAUAGCCGACCUGAGAGGGUGAUCGGCCACACUGGAACUGAGACACGGUCCAGACUCCUACGGGAGGCAGCAGUAGGGAAUCUUCCGCAAUGGGCGAAAGCCUGACGCAGCAACGCCGCGUGAGUGAUGAAGGUCUUCGGGUCGUAAAACUCUGUUAUUAGGGAAGAACAUAUGUGUAAGUAACUGUGCACAUCUUGACGGUACCUAAUCAGAAAGCCCCGGCUAACUACGUG
Molecule: ribosomal RNA, 497 nt
Filed under: uncultured bacterium
Lineage: Bacteria
Description: partial 16S ribosomal RNA
Rfam family: Bacterial small subunit ribosomal RNA
Source: RNAcentral